UCCGGUAUGGUGUAACGGCUAACAUUGCCGCCUUUCAUGUUGAACAUGAAACAUACAGCUUGGGUCGCGCGGCAGCUCGGGGUUCGAUUCCCCGUACCGGAA
Asterophora parasitica is the source of this 102-nucleotide non-coding RNA. The record is from the annotation of a GenBank genome assembly. NCBI's taxonomy places the organism in Eukaryota, Fungi, Basidiomycota, Agaricomycetes, Agaricales, Lyophyllaceae.